This 4291-nucleotide long non-coding RNA is filed under the name Sus scrofa (pig). Its description in RNAcentral is "lncRNA (ENSSSCG00060010441.1)". Lineage: Eukaryota; Metazoa; Chordata; Mammalia; Artiodactyla; Suidae. The record is from RNAcentral.
GAGAGAAAGAAGCCCACACCAAGGGUUGUCCCAGGCUCCCGGUGUGUUUGCUACUGCUUGCUGCACAGAGUUCCGACAGGGUCCUCCCUUAACAAGCAAAGAGGAAAAUCAUCUCUGUUGCGAUGCCAGUGUGACUCGGCAAAGUUGCAUCUAGCGUGCGCGUCUGUCCUGGCUGAGGGGGGCUGAGAGAGGCUUUGCUGCCCUUUUCCCCCUUGAAUACGAGUUUCUCGUGACUUUCCACCACCCUGAACUCACAAUGAUCCGUCAAGGACCUUCUCCUAUUUCCCUCCCAGCACCAUCCUAAUUUCCUCCCUUCAGUGGCUUCUCUCCUCUUCAUGAUCACUUUAUCCCUUCCUGGACCAGAGGAAAUAACGAGAGACAGUGCCUCCUCCGCUGAAAAUCCACAGCCAGGCAUGGACCCCUCCUCACCACCUCCUACUAUGGUACUUAAAGACCUCACCAUGAAAAACUGGAUUGCAUAAAGGACUGCUCCUGGACAGAGACCCCUGGCUUGUUAUAUUUGCACAACUGGACAGUUUUCAUGGCAUAGAUUGGAUGGACUCUGUCAGUGACAGGAGGCAAUGUCCCUCCUGAAGGAGGGGAAGGGAGUCUCUUCACUAGCAAAUACUCCAGCCAUUGGGGAAAAAAAAAAGAUCCUGUGAUUCCAACCAUGGAACUGCUACUCAAAACAACUGCAAGAAAGAGGAAGUAGAGACCACGCGAGGUAUUUCCGUGUAAGACUGUUCCACCUUGAGAAAAGAAGCAAAAUGUGGAAAUGGGUCCUUCGCUAGAGAAUGGAUUAAAGAGUCUUUGGUCUCUUUCUGAAUUGUGCUACUUAAUUUAUCAUCACCACCAUCAUCAUCAUCUUUGUUGUCAUCAUCUCCAUCAACCGUGCUUCCUACAUGCCAGAAGUGUUGUGUUCCCUGGUUGAUCUCAUUUAAUUCUUCUGACAGCAAUAUGAGGCCUUGGCAGCUAUGCAGAGCAUUGCAGUGAGAAGCUGCUGUCUUGGGGGAGCUUUACUGCUUUUGGAGAUUUAAUACUGAUCUUGAACUUGAGGUGUGUCUGCAUGAACUUCUAUGCACCAGAAACUUUCAUUUCAAUGCUGAAAUGUGGGGUAAGAUUUUGGUGAAAUUUUAAACAAAUUUAGGGAACUACCUUAAGUAAAUUCAACCAGGUAUCACAUGCAGUCUUACUUUGGAAUUGUGAAAAAAAAAUAAUAAUAAGAGUGGAAAUAUGGAAGAGAAUGCAAUAGCUACAACAGCAUAAACAUUGACUAUUAAGAAUCAAAAUAAUAUUCAUAAAAAAUAUUCAUUAAGUUAGGUGUCAACAUUUGUAAGAAAUGCACUGUUCCUGGCUUCGAGGUGGAAGAAGGCCGCCACAAGCUAAGGAAUGUGGGCCGCAUCUAGAAGCUGGAAAAGGCAAGAAAACAGUCUCCUCUAGAGCCUCUAGAAGGAAUACAGUCCUGGUGACACCUUGGUCUUGGCCCAGUGAGACCCAUAUCAGAUUUCUAACCUACAGAACUAUAAGAUAGUACAUUUAUGUUUUCUUAAGCCACUAGGUGUGUAAUCAUUUGUUACAACAGCCACAGGAAAGGAAUGCAUGUAUGGUUCUCUACAUUUUUGGUCUCUGCAGAGACAGGGUGGAUGGGGCCAGGAGACUAGCUCUGGCACUUAGAAUGGGGGAUGGGUGUGAUUUGCCCCCUACCUGGGCAAUGUGCCAUGACCUCUCUCUCUGGUGGUUGGACAGCUGAAUGCAGAGGGUCAGUAGAGGGUCAAGGAGGCUCUAGUGGAUGGCAGAGUCGCUGUUUGCAAGGAGCCUUGAAUCUGAAGUCACCACUUGAAAGAGUGUUGCCUCUGGGAGCUGCCCCAACCAAAUGCAUGAGUCUUAAUCCCCUGAGUUCCCAGAGUUCAUUUUUCCCUGCAGCAGAGCUGCUUCUAGUCUAACUCCAGAAUCUCCAAAUCAGAUUAUUUUUUCUUUUUAAAAAAUUUUUAAAGAGUUUUUUUUCUUUCUUUUUUUUUUUAAGGGAUCAAACUUCUACAUGGGCAAAGUCAGAACUUUGUUGGGCUUCCUUAGCCUUAGUUUGUAAUUCAGUCUUUUUAAAACUUCACGUAGCACAUGGAGAGCAUUGUAAUCAAAUUUCUAUACUUAGGGCUUGUGACGGUCUUAAACCAGUGCUACUUUCUUGGCCACGGAGGCACCCACAGCCUCACAGUGCAGACAGACAGCUCAUUGGUCUCUUACAGGCUCUUCUGGCCUUUUCCUAAAUAUGCUCUCCAGUGCCAUAAAUUUCUACUUUUGUCCAGAGAUUCCUUUUUCUUGGAAUAUGUACCCCACCCCUUCCUUUAAGCUCAGCUCAAUUCCAUCUCCUUCAAGAUGCCUUUCUAGAUUCUCCAAGGAAUAUGAAUUUCCUUCCUCCAUGAUUCCCUGUGUUCUUUCGUAAUACUUAUUAAUGGAUCCCUGUCCUCUCUACCCAAGUACACACACAGGCACAUCCUAAAAUGUAGCUUCUAGAAGGCAAAUAUCAUCCCAGGCUCACUGUGGUCCUUCACCAUAAGAUAGUGCUUUAGGGCAGUAAAUGCUCUGUGCAUUUGCAAAUUUUAGUAAAACCUCUGUGGCUGGUGGAAGAGUUUUGUUUUGUUUGUUUAAGCAGACAGGAUCACGUGGUGCCUUUUAUAUUAUCAUAUAGGACUGGUCCAUUUAUAUAGAGCAAGGGUCCCCCAAGAUUCCUUGUUCAUCAAAAUCUGAAUGACUAAACCAGGCACUGUGCUAAAGGGCCGGAGCACCACGUACCCUGUGGAACUAUCAAAUGUCACCCACUAGGACAGCUGCAAACCACAUAUAGAGUGUACCUACUACGUACCAGACUUUGGGCAGGUGAUCGACAUCAGCCUGAGCCUCUGGCCAGUCCUUCACUUUCUAGGACUUCUUCCCUUUCAGGGAAAUUUGGCCUCCCAGCAUCUGGGGAACAAGCUGCUUAUUUGCUAAUAUCUGUUUGCACAUCAGGGUUUUUUACUUUUAGGAACAGUUUGUCUCUCUGGCAGAUCUCCGUGUUCCCAUACCGUUGUUUAUGAUGUAACUAAGCAUCUAUCGUAUAGAAUUGAACUCAAUUCUCUUUUGAAACUGCAAGAGAUCUAACCCGCUCAUUUUCUUUCCAUUUAACAUACGAGAGGGGUGUGUAGGAGCAGUUUAUUAAGGGGGAGCUGUUUAUUGAGGGAUCCUGGGGCUAAUCCAGCCCAUUAUUUCUCCAUUUCCUUACAGCUCACUGAGAAGGGUGGGAGAGAACAGGAAUGGGGAGACUAUUCUUUCCUGAGUGAUUGUUUGGCCAAUCCACAGGGAUCCUGACUUUCCUACACCCAUCAGGGAAGUAGCAUCCAGAGGGUCAUUCCAGGGACAGGGCUGGCUGUGUCAGGCUGUAAUGAAUGGUUCAGACUGAGAGGUGGAACUUGGCCAACAACAGGGAAAGACAAUAAUCAUUGGAAAAUUUAGGCAUUGAGAAUAAGAUCCAUGUCUGUCUUAUGUCCCCUGGGUACCAACACAAUGACUUGGCUUAGUAACUGCCCCAUAAUGUUUAAAUUAUGUUCAGUGAAUGAGUGAAUGAAUGGAUGCCGUAUUCUUGCUUCCUUCUCCAAACACUCUUUAUAAAAUUACGGCAUCUCAUUCAUGUCUCCUCUAUAAAUCGGGAAUUUGGUGAGGCAUGCUGUUUAUUGCUUAGGAAUCAUUUUACUUAAUCACAAAGGUCCCAGGGGUUCAGGCGGGGAAAAAAAAAAAACAAACAGGUUUGGGAGAAAGAGUAGGAUAGGAUCUUCCUAGAGAUUUUUCUUUCCUUUUUCUUUAAUGGGCGCACCCAUGGAAGAUGGAAAUUCCCAGGCCAGGGAUUGAAGCCCAGCCUCAGCUGUGGCCAGAUCCUUUAACCCACUGCACCAGGCUGGGGAUUGAACCUGCACCUCGACAGUGACCCAAGCUGCUGCAGUGGGAUUCUUAACCCAAGGUGCCACAGCACAGUGAGGCUAGAGCCCCACUUCAACUCCUAUAGAGUUGAAAGCUCUAUAGGAGUUUCUGUUAUGGCUCAGUGGUAACAAACCCUACUAGUAUCCAUGAGGACGCUGGGUUUGAUAAGCGGGUUAAGGCUCUGGUGUUGCCGUGAGCUGUGGUGUAGGUCACAGACACGGUUCAGACCUGCUGUUGCUAUGGCUGUGGUGUAGGCUGGCAGCUACAGCUCCAAUUCGACCUCCAUCCUGGGAACUUUCAUAUGCUGCAGGUUUGGCCCCCAAAAAGACCAAAAAAAAAAAAA